RNAcentral lists this ribosomal RNA (760 nucleotides) under uncultured bacterium. Its description in RNAcentral is "bacterial SSU rRNA". It matches the Rfam family "Bacterial small subunit ribosomal RNA", at positions 90 to 847 of the family's 1533-position model. The record is from RNAcentral.
GGCGAGUGGCGAACGGGUGAGUAAUAUAUCGGAACGUACCCAAGAGUGGGGGAUAACGCAGCGAAAGUUGCGCUAAUACCGCAUACGAUCUAAGGAUGAAAGCAGGGGACCGCAAGGCCUUGUGCUCCUGGAGCGGCCGAUAUCUGAUUAGCUAGUUGGUGAGGUAAAGGCUCACCAAGGCGACGAUCAGUAGCUGGUCUGAGAGGACGACCAGCCACACUGGAACUGAGACACGGUCCAGACUCCUACGGGAGGCAGCAGUGGGGAAUUUUGGACAAUGGGCGCAAGCCUGAUCCAGCAAUGCCGCGUGAGUGAAGAAGGCCUUCGGGUUGUAAAGCUCUUUUGUCAGGGAAGAAACGGCUGUGGCUAAUAUCCACGGCUAAUGACGGUACCUGAAGAAUAAGCACCGGCUAACUACGUGCCAGCAGCCGCGGUAAUACGUAGGGUGCAAGCGUUAAUCGGAAUUACUGGGCGUAAAGCGUGCGCAGGCGGUUUUGUAAGUCUGACGUGAAAUCCACGGGCUUAACCUGGGAAUUGCGUUGGAGACUGCAAGGCUAGAAUCUGGCAGAGGGGGGUAGAAUUCCACGUGUAGCAGUGAAAUGCGUAGAGAUGUGGAGGAACACCGAUGGCGAAGGCAGCCCCCUGGGUCAAGAUUGACGCUCAUGCACGAAAGCGUGGGGAGCAAACAGGAUUAGAUACCCUGGUAGUCCACGCCCUAAGCGAUGUCUACUAGUUGUCGGGUCUUAAUUGACUUGGUAAC